RNAcentral lists this long non-coding RNA (420 nucleotides) under Podarcis lilfordi (Lilford's wall lizard). The record is from RNAcentral. Lineage: Eukaryota; Metazoa; Chordata; Lepidosauria; Squamata; Lacertidae.
UUAGUCGUUUAGUCGUGUCCGCCUCUUGGUGACCCCCUGGACCAGAGCACGCCAGGCACUCCUGUCUUCCACUGCCUCCCGCAGUUUGGUCAGACUCACGUUCGUAGCUUCGAGAACACUGUCCCACCAUCUGGUCCUCCGUCGUCCCCUUCUCCUUGCGCCCUCCAUCUUUCCCAACAUCAGGGUCUUUUCCAGGGAGUCUUCUCUUCUCAUGAGGUGGCCAAAGUCUCGGAGCCUCAGCUUCAGGAUCUGUCCUUCCAGUGAGCACUCAGGGCUGAUUUCCUUAAGAAUGGAGAGGUUUGAUCUUCUUGCAGUCCAUGGGACUCUCAAGAGUCUCCUCCAGCACCAGAAUUCAAAAGCAUCCAUUCUUCAGCGAUCAGCCUUCUUGAUGGUCCAGCUCUCACUUCCAUACAUCACUAC